GGCCCGGUGGCGGAAUGUCUACGCGGGGGCGCCGCAAGCGCUUCACAUCCUGGUUCAAAUCCAGGCUGGGCCUCCA
RNAcentral lists this transfer RNA (76 nucleotides) under Afipia sp. RNAcentral describes it as "tRNA-Cys". Lineage: Bacteria; Pseudomonadati; Pseudomonadota; Alphaproteobacteria; Hyphomicrobiales; Nitrobacteraceae. The record is from RNAcentral.